This is a long non-coding RNA of Felis catus (domestic cat), 866 nucleotides long. RefSeq lists it as uncharacterized. The transcript has 2 exons. The record is from RefSeq and is a predicted model, not a curated record. NCBI's taxonomy places the organism in Eukaryota, Metazoa, Chordata, Mammalia, Carnivora, Felidae.
GGCAUUAUGAGCCUUCCUCACUCCAGCGCUCCUCCCGCGGUGUUACUGUGACCCCUUCACACAUCUGACCCUUUGCCCCUGACAGCACUACUUCUCUGUUAUCCUGGUACACAGCUUAUAGGUUUAUUUCUACCAUCUACUUCACCAGAAGAUAUCAGUUUUAUCUUGACGAAAUAAUAUUCCAGCUUUAAUAAGUCAGUUUUCAUAAGGCAGCUUCUAUUUCAUUAGACUCUACCUCUAUGCCUCGCAAGUUUCACCAGGAAAUUACCGAGUAUUUGGAAUUAUGACUGGCUUGUAGAAAUCAUUGAAUAAUAGUAGGUUGGAUAAAAGUAUGAUAAUGGUUUAGGGGAUAUGCAGGUAUGGUUGGGAGCGAACAUGAAAAGGAUUUGGAGAACAUUGAGAAAGUAGAGUAAGAACUCUAUCUGAACAGUCUGGACUGCAUUUAGGUAUAAGGUAAGGUGGAGUUUUGGAAAGAUAUGUCACAGGUUUGCUCAAUCUUAUCUCAAAAUUCAUUAGAUUUCAUUGCACUUCUUUAAAUCUUUCACUGUUAGGUAUUUCACCUUGUCUUUACUUUAUAAAAUUUUUUACUUUACGUUUUUUCUGGAAUUCUAUUUUGUCACAGUAUCAGUUUAAAAAAUCAAUAAUUCCCUUAAAUAUUACUUUGUUUUCAAAUAUAACUUGGAACUUUAAAAGCCUGUAGCUAAUGAAAAGCCACAUACAGUAAUUUUGAAAUCCUACCAAAAAAUCUAUGCCAAUAUAUGCAAAAUAUUCCUGCAGGUUACCAAAGCCACAUUUAAUAAAAAUGUAAAUCCAAUAAAAGUUUCUAAUAAUUCUGCUUAAUUAAAAUUGUACCCAUGUAUAAUGAA